CGCCGUGAGCUUUGAAAUCUUGGUUUGCUUGCAUGAGUGAGCUGAUGAGCUGCGUUCUUUGCUGAGUUGGAUGGUGAUCAGUGGCUGAGCUGAUGAUGAGUGUCGUUAUUUUUUUUUAUUUUUUUUCGGAGGUAUAUAAUGGAGGUUCCCGGAGAGGCCAGAAACCGCACAAAGGCCACAUACUAAAUCUGGAGUUGCAUUAUGCAUGGUACUACAUGGAGUACAUCUAUAAGUAUAGGCCUUGUUUAGUUCCGAAAAGUGAAAAGUUUUCGGUACUGUAGCACUUUCGUUUGUU
RNAcentral lists this long non-coding RNA (295 nucleotides) under Sorghum bicolor (sorghum). Its description in RNAcentral is "long non-coding RNA (SBIC_LNC015192)". The record is from RNAcentral. Lineage: Eukaryota; Viridiplantae; Streptophyta; Magnoliopsida; Poales; Poaceae.